AUAACUAUUGGAAACGAUGGCUAAUACCGCAUGAUGCCUACGGGCCAAAGAGGGGGACCUUCGGGCCUCUCGCGUCAGGAUAUGCCUAGGUGGGAUUAGCUAGUUGGUGAGGUAAGGGCUCACCAAGGCAACGAUCCCUAGCUGGUCUGAGAGGAUGAUCAGCCACACUGGAACUGAGACACGGUCCAGACUCCUACGGGAGGCAGCAGUGGGGAAUAUUGCACAAUGGGCGCAAGCCUGAUGCAGCCAUGCCGCGUGUAUGAAGAAGGCCUUCGGGUUGUAAAGUACUUUCAGCAGUGAGGAAGGCGGAUACGUUAAUAGCGUAUUCGUUUGACGUUAGCUGCAGAAGAAGCACCGGCUAACGCCGUGCCAGCAGCCGCGGUAAUACGGAGGGUGCGAGCGUUAAUCGGAAUUACUGGGCGUAAAGCGCAUGCAGGUGGUUUGUUAAGUCAGAUGUGAAAGCCCGGGGCUCAACCUCGGAAUAGCAUUUGAAACUGGCAGACUAGAGUACUGUAGAGGGGGGUAGAAUUUCAGGUGUAGCGGUGAAAUGCGUAGAGAUCUGAAGGAAUACCGGUGGCGAAAGCGGCCCCCUGGACAGAUACUGACACUCAGAUG
This 615-nucleotide ribosomal RNA is filed under the name uncultured Vibrio sp. RNAcentral's name for it is "bacterial SSU rRNA". It matches the Rfam family "Bacterial small subunit ribosomal RNA", at positions 143 to 753 of the family's 1533-position model. The record is from RNAcentral. Lineage: Bacteria; Pseudomonadati; Pseudomonadota; Gammaproteobacteria; Vibrionales; Vibrionaceae.